Molecule: ribosomal RNA, 454 nt
Filed under: uncultured bacterium
Lineage: Bacteria
Description: bacterial SSU rRNA
Rfam family: Bacterial small subunit ribosomal RNA
Source: RNAcentral
AGGCAGCAGUGGGGAAUAUUGCACAAUGGGGGAAACCCUGAUGCAGCCAUGCCGCGUGUGUGAAGAAGGCCUUCGGGUUGUAAAGCACUUUCAGUAGGGAGGAAGGUAGUGUAGUUAACACCUGCAUUAUUUGACGUUACCUACAGAAGAAGCACCGGCUAACUCCGUGCCAGCAGCCGCGGUAAUACGGAGGGUGCGAGCGUUAAUCGGAAUUACUGGGCGUAAAGCGCAUGCAGGCGGCCUGUUAAGUCAGAUGUGAAAGCCCGGGGCUUAACCUCGGAAUUGCAUUUGAAACUGGCAGGCUAGAGUCUUGUAGAGGGGGUAGAAUUUCAGGUGUAGCGGUGAAAUGCGUAGAGAUCUGAAGGAAUACCAGUGGCGAAGGCGGCCCCCUGGACAAAGACUGACGCUCAGAUGCGAAAGCGUGGGGAGCAAACAGGAUUAGAUACCCUGGUAG